This 309-nucleotide small nuclear RNA is filed under the name Mustela putorius furo (domestic ferret). RNAcentral's name for it is "7SK RNA (ENSMPUG00000023433.1)". It matches the Rfam family "7SK RNA". Rfam says of the family: 7SK was discovered as an abundant small nuclear RNA in the mid-70s but a possible function has only recently been suggested. Two independent studies have found that 7SK RNA binds the CDK9/cyclin T complex (known as elongation factor P-TEFb). P-TEFb activates transcription by phosphorylating the C-terminal domain of RNA polymerase II. Lineage: Eukaryota; Metazoa; Chordata; Mammalia; Carnivora; Mustelidae. The record is from Rfam by way of RNAcentral.
GGGUGUGAGGAUACCAGGCGCCAUGUUGGUGGUCUAGGUUGAUUUUGCUGAUCCAACCAGUGGACUAGGUGAUGGGCCCCCCUCCUCACCAUUCUACAGAUGUCCUUCCUGGGGCUGCACUUCCAGCCAGAGAGAAAGGGAGUCUUCCCAGGUAGAGCAUCACUUUUGGGCCAAGGAUAUGUGAUGGCUUUGUCUGUUAACUGGCAUUCUAAGGAAAUAUGGAAUUCUAAUUACUCUUUAGAAUGAAUAUCCUAAAUUUUCAAAAUAUGCAUUACAUUAAAAUGGAGUAAGUAUGUUGUGCUCUUUCUU